GCUCCAGUAGAGGUGAGUAUAGUGUAGUGUUGUGUAGUGUAGUGUGCUGAGGCUCCAGUAGAGGUGAGUAUAGUGUAGUGUUGUGUAGUGUAGUGUGCUGAGGCUCCAGUAGAGGUGAGUAUAGUGUAGUGUUGUGUAGUGUAGUGUGCUGAGGCUCCAGUAGAGGUGAGUAUAGUGUAGUGUUGUGUAGUGUAGUGUGCUGAGGCUCCAGUAGAGGUGAGUAUAGUGUAGUGUUGUGUAGUGUAGUGUGCUGAGGCUCCAGUAGAGGUGAGUAUAGUGUAGUGUUGUGUAGUGUAGUGUGCUGAGGCUCCAGUAGAGGUGAGUAUAGUGUAGUGUUG
Long non-coding RNA from Carassius gibelio (silver crucian carp), 338 nucleotides. RefSeq lists it as uncharacterized. NCBI's taxonomy places the organism in Eukaryota, Metazoa, Chordata, Actinopteri, Cypriniformes, Cyprinidae. The transcript is spliced from 3 exons. The record is from RefSeq and is a predicted model, not a curated record.